Molecule: signal recognition particle RNA, 305 nt
Filed under: Petromyzon marinus (sea lamprey)
Lineage: Eukaryota; Metazoa; Chordata; Hyperoartia; Petromyzontiformes; Petromyzontidae
Description: Metazoan signal recognition particle RNA (ENSPMAG00000012296.1)
Rfam family: Metazoan signal recognition particle RNA
About the family: The signal recognition particle (SRP) is a universally conserved ribonucleoprotein.
Source: RNAcentral
GCCGUGGCGUGCGCCUCUAACCCAGCUGCUUGGAGGAGCCGUGGGUUGCGGGAUCUCUUGAGGACGGGAGAGUCCUGCGCUGUGAGGCUCUCUAUGCCGACCGGGCGUCCGCACCAAGUUCGGUAUCAAUAUGGUGAGCGAUGGGGAGCCCCCGCUCACCAGGUUGUUGUUGUGCUAAGGAGGGACGAACCGGCCCAAGCCGUAUACGGAGCAAGCCAAAGACCCCGAGCCGAUCAGCGGUGGGACAGCGCCUGUGUCGAGACCUCCCAGGGCACCCGCCCAACACAGCGAGACCCAAAUCCUUU